Molecule: long non-coding RNA, 846 nt
Filed under: Ananas comosus (pineapple)
Lineage: Eukaryota; Viridiplantae; Streptophyta; Magnoliopsida; Poales; Bromeliaceae
Description: long non-coding RNA (ACOM_LNC028636)
Source: RNAcentral
CAAAACCAAAUGAGGACCGUGACUAAGGCUUCGUUUGAGAUUUGUAGGGGGAAUGCGUAAUGCACCAUGAGAAAAUACAGUAAAAAAGUAUUUUAUUUUUUUUCAUAUACGAUAUUAAGUUUUGUACAUCACAAAUAGUUGAUUAAAAUAUAUUUUAUACUAUUCCAUCAAAAAAUGCGUAAACAUAUCCUUAUAUGAUUUCCCUGUAACUCCAUUUUGCUUAUUAGUAUUAAAUGCGCCUCACUAUCAAAGUCAUGUGUCAAUAUUUAUCGAGGAAAGAACAAUUUUUAUCUACAUAUAUGCAUCUGUAAAACUGUGCAACGGACUUUUACAUGGCGCCCAUCUUGUUUCGUAACCAGAUAGAGUAGUCACGAAGACGAUCAACAUAAAAAAAAUAAUUUAAUUUCAUACAGAUUUCUACAAAUAUGGUGAAUUCUAAAUAUAUCCAUAUAAAGUUCAACUUUCAUAUGUUUUUUCUCUAAAAAUUCUAAUAUUUUUAAAUAUGUCCAUAUAGUUAAAAUCCGUUAGAAAAUUUUAAUUAACCAUAUGUUAAAUACUUAAUUUUAAUUAGUUUAUGAGAUAACUUAAUAUUUUUGUCCCUCUUAUAUUAUACUGUUGUGGCUUUUAGAGAGGCAUAUUUGUGAUGGAAAAAUUAUCAUGUUACUUAAAAUAUAAAUAGUUAUAUAAUGGUAACAAAUUAGAGAGACAUAUUUAAAAAUACUAAAAUUUUUACAGAAACAACGUAUGAAAAUUAAACUUUAUAGAAAUGUAUUUGUAAUUCACUAUAUUUACAGGAAUAUGUAUGCAUUUAACCUUAAAAAAGAAACUCUAAAUUGAUCGACGGAU